RNAcentral lists this ribosomal RNA (808 nucleotides) under uncultured bacterium. RNAcentral's name for it is "bacterial SSU rRNA". It matches the Rfam family "Bacterial small subunit ribosomal RNA", at positions 62 to 834 of the family's 1533-position model. The record is from RNAcentral.
UCGAACGAGUUCUCGUUGAUGAUCGGUGCUUGCACCGAGAUUCAACAUGGAACGAGUGGCGGACGGGUGAGUAACACGUGGGUAACCUGCCCUUAAGUGGGGGAUAACAUUUGGAAACAGAUGCUAAUACCGCAUAGAUCCAAGAACCGCAUGGUUCUUGGCUGAAAGAUGGCGUAAGCUAUCGCUUUUGGAUGGACCCGCGGCGUAUUAGCUAGUUGGUGAGGUAAUGGCUCACCAAGGCGAUGAUACGUAGCCGAACUGAGAGGUUGAUCGGCCACAUUGGGACUGAGACACGGCCCAAACUCCUACGGGAGGCAGCAGUAGGGAAUCUUCCACAAUGGACGCAAGUCUGAUGGAGCAACGCCGCGUGAGUGAAGAAGGCUUUCGGGUCGUAAAACUCUGUUGUUGGAGAAGAAUGGUCGGCAGAGUAACUGUUGUCGGCGUGACGGUAUCCAACCAGAAAGCCACGGCUAACUACGUGCCAGCAGCCGCGGUAAUACGUAGGUGGCAAGCGUUAUCCGGAUUUAUUGGGCGUAAAGCGAGCGCAGGCGGUUUUUUAAGUCUGAUGUGAAAGCCCUCGGCUUAACCGAGGAAGCGCAUCGGAAACUGGGAAACUUGAGUGCAGAAGAGGACAGUGGAACUCCAUGUGUAGCGGUGAAAUGCGUAGAUAUAUGGAAGAACACCAGUGGCGAAGGCGGCUGUCUGGUCUGUAACUGACGCUGAGGCUCGAAAGCAUGGGUAGCGAACAGGAUUAGAUACCCUGGUAGUCCAUGCCGUAAACGAUGAAUGCUAGGUGUUGGAGGGUUUC